GUUGAGUUUUAAUUUGAGAGUCCUCAUUUUUAGCUUUAAUUUUUAGUUUAUGUAUGAUUAUUUAUUUAAAUUUUAAAAAUUUAAAAUUAAAAUUAAUUAUUAUUAUUUUUUUUUAUUUUUAAAAAUAAAUAAAUACUUAAUUUAUGUUAAAGUAUCAUUUGACCUACAAUUUUUUUUAAAUAGUUAUAAUUUAAUAAAUUUAAAUAUAUAAAUUGGAAAAAAAAGUAAAAUAAUUUUAAUAUUUAUUUGAAUUUUUUUUAGUUUCGGUACAAA
Molecule: ribosomal RNA, 273 nt
Filed under: Bursaphelenchus xylophilus (pine wood nematode)
Lineage: Eukaryota; Metazoa; Nematoda; Chromadorea; Rhabditida; Aphelenchoididae
Description: partial small subunit ribosomal RNA
Source: RNAcentral